AACGGGAACUACUGUGCUGGCUCGGGUGACUGAUCCUGACCACCGUGGGAAACUGGACUGCACUCCAUAGUGGACAUGGGCAAGAGCAUGUCUGGGAUACAGGAGAUCCCUUGGGGUGUCUCCUAGCACGCUCUCAAUCACAAUGCCCCGUGACUGAGGUCAAUGGAAAACUAUAACCACCCAAUCCAGACAGGACUAAAAAUGGCCCAGUCCCUUCAGGAAUGAAGGUUUGGAUCACCCCACCAGGAUGUGGCUUCAACAGCUGCUAGGACAAGGGAGUGACUCUUCUGUGCUGCUAGCCAGCAAGUGCCCACCCAGAGCUCCCGGAUGCUCUCCAAAUGCCAAGAAGACCCAAGGAUCUUUCCUGACUCUGCCCAAGGAUGGCCUGGAGGCACAGGCAGAAACCCGUGGAUCUGGUUCCUAGCUCGUCAUAGCAGCAAAAGAAACACUGCCAGCACCCUGCACUGUGAUUGGUAAGCUUUGCAAUCGACAAAAAUCAUCAGGACGCCAGGUCACAGGCAGCCACGGUGUCCUCUGUCCCCACUUAAAGGCCAGGAUUGGCUCACUUGGUACUUUGUUUUGCCUCCCUAUAAGGCAUGUAAUUAAAUUUAUAACUUUCUGAAAAUGCUAAAAAUAAGCCCAGGUGCUCUGCUAUGCAGGCAGCUUGUACUCUGCAGUUGAGAGCUGGAGCUGGAGCCGGAGUUUGCACAGCUUAUAAGCAGUAAGUCUGGGGGCUGCCAGGCCUGAGGCAGGAAGGUCCUGCUUCAGCUCCUUCAGCUUUUCCCCAGCACUUCCUCCUGCUUGAAGCAUCUGUCUGUCUGUCCUGUGGCAGAGAUAAUAAGACCCAGCCAACACAGGAAGCUGCAUAGAGACAAAUAGCAGGUGGUGAUGCAUUUUAAAGUUGCCCAGAAGCUUCCAUAAGGAACUCUCCUCAUUUACUUCUCAGACACGAAGAGACUUGAGAAAUGCUGUCUUUUGAUGUUCUCCCUGCUGAAUUUCAAACACUUCCCCUUCCAUUGAUUUUAAAGGGUAUGUUCCUAAUUUCCAAGGGUUGCUUAUUUGGAGGUAAUUUGUAAGCCAUGGUGCUCUCCAGAACAGAGAAGCUGGCAAGGGCCAAUGAAGGUGCUGGUCCUGGCUGGACGGCGAGUCAGCCUGCAUCUGACCACACUCUGGACCCAGCAAGAGCCCCUGCCCAGAGGCAGGACACUCAUGGGCAGUAUUAGUGGGUAUAUGCUUGCACACAGCAGUGCAAGCAUAGCCGUCAGAGCCACACUAGCCUUACUUUGGAAAGGUGUCGUCUCUUCCUUUGAAGCUUCCCAACUUCUGUGCUCAGAAAUGCAAACUUGCUGAGUUGCAGGGAAGUGGCACCUGGGGACGGUUCUCCUCAAGGCCCCGCUGGACUCCAUGUGCCCACCCCUCAACAGGGCGGGGCUGUAAGAUUGGCUUCGACCACUGAAAUGCGCAUGAGCAGAGGCUUCCAUGUAGCCUCUGCACUGGUUGCUUCAUUUCUGCCCCUGCUAUGGUCCUGGAGACAUUCUACACCAGGAGUCAGAAGGCAUUUUCUG
RNAcentral lists this long non-coding RNA (1565 nucleotides) under Homo sapiens (human). RNAcentral's name for it is "HSALNT0037532". The record is from RNAcentral. Lineage: Eukaryota; Metazoa; Chordata; Mammalia; Primates; Hominidae.